AAAUUGAAGAGUUUGAUCAUGGCUCAGAUUGAACGCUGGCGGCAGGCCUAACACAUGCAAGUCGAGCGGAAACGAGUUAUCUGAACCUUCGGGGGACGAUAACGGCGUCGAGCGGCGGACGGGUGAGUAAUGCCUAGGAAAUUGCCCUGAUGUGGGGGAUAACCAUUGGAAACGAUGGCUAAUACCGCAUGAUGCCUACGGGCCAAAGAGGGGGACCUUCGGGCCUCUCGCGUCAGGAUAUGCCUAGGUGGGAUUAGCUAGUUGGUGAGGUAAGGGCUCACCAAGGCGACGAUCCCUAGCUGGUCUGAGAGGAUGAUCAGCCACACUGGAACUGAGACACGGUCCAGACUCCUACGGGAGGCAGCAGUGGGGAAUAUUGCACAAUGGGCGCAAGCCUGAUGCAGCCAUGCCGCGUGUGUGAAGAAGGCCUUCGGGUUGUAAAGCACUUUCAGUCGUGAGGAAGGUAGUGUAGUUAAUAGCUGCAUUAUUUGACGUUAGCGACAGAAGAAGCACCGGCUAACUCCGUGCCAGCAGCCGCGGUAAUACGGAGGGUGCGAGCGUUAAUCGGAAU
This 571-nucleotide ribosomal RNA is filed under the name Vibrio parahaemolyticus. RNAcentral's name for it is "bacterial SSU rRNA". It matches the Rfam family "Bacterial small subunit ribosomal RNA", at positions 1 to 551 of the family's 1533-position model. Lineage: Bacteria; Pseudomonadati; Pseudomonadota; Gammaproteobacteria; Vibrionales; Vibrionaceae. The record is from RNAcentral.